UCUGUACAGAAAAAAUCAUUGAAUAGUUCUUCUGCAUAGAAAUUAAAAGUAGUAUAUGGUUCUUUAAUUAGAGGUCACAAGAGAGCAAAGUAUAUGGUUCUACUUAUAUAUGCAUAGAGAGAAAGGCCUGAAACAGUUGAUGGACAAAGAUAGUGUGGUGCACAAGAAGGUGAAAUAGAUGAAGAAUAUGGCUGGAAAAGCUGUCCUUAAUGGUGUUCUUCUUUGAAUUCUGUUGAAGAACUAAUUGAGGAUAUCGUAGGUAAGGAUCAGGAUUCCUAAGAUCACAGCAUGAUCUUUUGCAGAAGAAUUACUAACUAGAUCCUAAUUUUGAAUGAGUUCAACCAUGGUAAGACUUUGACCUUUUGAAGCUUAGUCCAUUGUAAGACAUCAAGCCACAAUUUUUUGUAGUUUCCUAAGGAAUGCUUGAGCACAAUGUUGGUGGGUUUCGAUUUGACCAGAGAGAGGUAGUUCAUAGUUGCAAGAUUGAUCCUUGUGUUCAGAGAGUUUUAUCAGUAUGUUAAACUUGUGUUCCAUGUGAUUGUAUUUGUAUUUUUCUUACUUGUUUAUUUUGAGUUUUUGACCUUAAUUAUGUGAUGAAUGUUGUAAGCAAGACGAGCUUUGAGGGCGUUGAGGGCAGUGGUGAGGCUGCAGGCUAUAUUUCGCGGAAGGCUAGCGAGGAAGCAAGCUGCUGUUACUCUAAGGUGCAUGUAGGCUCUUGUUCGAGUUCAAGCUCGCGUCC
Molecule: non-coding RNA, 739 nt
Organism: Arachis ipaensis
Lineage: Eukaryota; Viridiplantae; Streptophyta; Magnoliopsida; Fabales; Fabaceae
Source: RefSeq, a predicted model, not a curated record